Molecule: ribosomal RNA, 468 nt
Filed under: uncultured bacterium
Lineage: Bacteria
Description: partial 16S ribosomal RNA
Rfam family: Bacterial small subunit ribosomal RNA
Source: RNAcentral
GACGAACGCUGGCGGCGUGCUUAACACAUGCAAGUCGAACGGAAAGGCCCUGCUUUUGUGGGGUGCGCGAGUUGCGAACGGGUGAGUAACACGUGAGUAACCUGCCCUUGACUGUGGGAUAACUUCAGGAAACUGGGGCUAAUACCGGAUAGGAGCUCCUGCUGCAUGGUGGGGGUUGGAAAGUUUCGGCGGUUGGGGAUGGACUCGCGGCUUAUCAGCUUGUUGGUGGGGUAGUGGCUUACCAAGGCUUUGACGGGUAGCCGGCCUGAGAGGGUGACCGGCCACAGUGGGACUGAGAUACGGCCCAGACUCAUACGGGAGGGAGCAGUGGGGAAUAUUGCACAAUGGGCGGGAGCCUGAUGCAGAAACGCCGCGUGCGCGAUGACGGCCUUCGGGUUGUAAACCUCUUUCGCCUGUGACGAAGCGUGAGUGACGGUAAUGGGUAAAGAAGCACCGGCUAAAUACGUG